GUCCUUUUCUUCACCUUGUGUCUGUUGCAAACAAUUCACUACUGAGACUUUCAGUUUCAAUAUGAAUGUUUGUUAUCUUUGUCUUGAGGCCAUUAUAAUGUCCCCAUCCUUUAUUCUACAGCAUGAUAAGGGGGAAGUUGGAUGACAUUUACAUUGUGGAACAGAGGAAUAGCUCUGUUUUGGUAAUAGAUGUUGGCUGAGAGGUGUUCUUUGAAAACAGGUUACUGGGAACAAACAAACAGCUAGUGUGACAACCUGGUCUCACAGCAUUUCGUAUUAUACUGUAUGUAAAUCCGACACAUUCCAUUUAGUAUGAUAUGUUACGUUUCCUCUCUGUUCUGCUCUGUUUUGGUAAUAGAUGUUGGCUGAGAGGUGUUCUUUGAAAACAGGUUACUGGGAACAAACAAACAGCUAGUGUGACAACCUGGUCUCACAGCAUUUCGUAUUAUUCUGUAUGUAAAUCCGACACAUUCCAUUUAGUAUGUUAUGUUACGUUUCAUAUGGUACGUAUUCAUUUGUGGAUGUCCAUCACCCACUUAGUAUGAUAUGUUACAAAUUACAAUUCCUAUUAUAUAUUAUGAAUUUGCUAAAUGUACAUAUGAUAUGUAAUGAAUUAGCUAGGUGGCUAAUGUUAGCUAGGCUAGGGGUUAAGGUUAGGAGUUAGGUUAAAGGGUUAGGGGAAGAGUUAGCUAAAGGGUUAAGGUUAGGGUUAGCUAGAAGGGUUAAGGUCAGGGGAAGGGUUAGCUAAAGGGUUAAGGUUAGGGUUAGCUAAAAGGGUUAAGGUUAGGAUCAGGGGAAGGGUUAGCUAAAGGGGUUAAGGUUAGGGGAAGGGUUAGCUAAAGGGGUUAAGGUUAGGGGAAGGGUUAGCUAAAGGGGUUAAGGUUAGGGGAAGGGUUAGCUAAAGGGGUUAAGGUUAGGGGAAGGGUUAGCUAAAGGGGUUAAGGUUAGGGGAAGGGUUAGCUAAAGGGGUUAGGGUUAGGGGAAGGGUUAGCUAAAGGGGUUAGGGUCAGGGGAAGGGUUAGCUAACGGGUUAAGGUUAGGGGAAGGGUUAGCUAAAGGGUUAAGGUUAGGGGAAGGGUUAGCUAAAGGGUUAAGGUUGGGGGAAAGGUUAGCUAAAAGGGUUAAGGUUAGGGGAAGGGUUAGCUAAAAGGUAGUUCAAAGGUAGCUAAAAAGUUGCUAAUUAGUUAAAAUGCUAAAGUUGUCCGUGAUGUGAACGUUCAGGUUACACCCAU
Oncorhynchus tshawytscha (Chinook salmon) is the source of this 1232-nucleotide long non-coding RNA. NCBI's taxonomy places the organism in Eukaryota, Metazoa, Chordata, Actinopteri, Salmoniformes, Salmonidae. The record is from Ensembl.